Molecule: long non-coding RNA, 8694 nt
Filed under: Triticum aestivum (bread wheat)
Lineage: Eukaryota; Viridiplantae; Streptophyta; Magnoliopsida; Poales; Poaceae
Description: long non-coding RNA (TAES_LNC025644)
Source: RNAcentral
UUUUUCUUUUUCUAUUUUCUAUUUUAUUUUCUGUUUGCACUUUCUUUUAACAACAAAUCACUUUUGUAAAAUGUGUGGCUGGUCUCAAUAGUUACUAUGCAAUAUACCUCACUCCCACAGAAAGUUUGGGAGAGAUUUGAAGUUGUUUGUAUUUUGAUUAAAGGAAAAUGACUUGAAUGGGGCUGUUUUGGGUACUGUUUUCAUAUCAAGGGGCAUCUUAAACCUUUAUAAAAAUGUUUUUUAAUGCAUGAAAAUUAUCUAAUGAAUAUUUUCAGCCUAAUGAACAUUUUUGUUGGACAGUUUAAAGAAUUUAUAAUUUUACUUGCGAUUUAAAUAUGAAUUUGACUUUGAUUUCUAUCAAGUGGCAAAUUGGCUUAAUAAAACAUGAUGACAUGGCACAUUAGGGUGAGGUUACUGUAGCAUGACACUGGGGGUGUUACAAAUCUCCUCCACUACAAGAAAUCUCGUCCCGAGAUUUAAGAGGGGAAGUGAGGGGGAAGAGAUUUGGUUACAAAAUUCUAACGAGUGUUCUCGAUCUUGGUUGCUCUUCUCGAAAAAGUUAAUCCCUUUUGUUGACGUCUUCAUUUCUCUGCAUUAAUGCUUCAUGAUGACCAUGCCGUCCUCCCUUCAGAAUUUUCACCAUACUUACGACAAGGAAAAGGGGUAGCUUCAGAAGAACGGACCUCUACACGAUUGCUUAUCUGUUAGGUAACUUAGGGAAGGAGGUAGAAUGUAUCUCUCGAACUGAAACUAAAGAAAAUAUCGAGAGCAAGGUAAGAAGGUGCCAUGAGAAGCUUCAAGCGGGCAGACGGUCGUUCAAGGUCUAAUCAGAAGGUGAAAGGGUUUCAGAGCAACGAAAAUAAAUAUUGCGUCUGAUACCAGAGUAAAUCAUCUCUAGGAAGGUGGCUCGUGAUUUACAUACGAAGCCAAGCGUGAGGAAUAAUUUUGGAAAUAGGGGUGUACAGGAAAGUCAAGUUUUGAUCUUGUGGAACUGUGGGUUAUGGGCCCACCAUGUGGGUUAACAAGUAGGAAGGGCGAUGUCAUCUUGCACGAUCAUGAUAGCAAGGCAUGUCGGAGAAUAGACUGUCAGUUAUGUUGGCAACAAUCAUUGGUACCAAGUGCGAGGGAGGAAGAGAACCAUUCUCCUACUCAUUGAACGAGGCAGAGCAAUAGGCAAAGUUCUCAUCCAUCGGUGGUUACCGGAAUGUCAUCAACAAUAGUAAGAGGGUCUUACUGACAGAGUGGUACAACAAGGUGCUUACCUAAGCAGGGAAUUAUCACUGCUCAGUUAAGUAGAUUACAAGAAGGGUUAAACAAACCAAUGUAAAGUCAAAUGUGAUUAUUGGAUUAAACAGAUAAUGGAAAGUAAAAUGUGUUUAAACACAUAAUUCAGGGGUAUAUCCUUCACAAGUUCAAGUAGAGCAUGAUAUCCAUGACAGGAUAUAAUGUAGACAACUCUUUAGGUACGGGGAGAGAAAUUUCCUGACAUUACCCAUACAAUGGUGUUUGGAUAAUUGAGCAGGAAACAUUUAGCAUUGGGCUUCAAAUGUUCUUGUUGAAAAUUGGAGUACCACUGACAUGCUUUGAGAUAGCAUUGACAUGGUCUUCAAGCAAAGGUCAGACCCUGGAUACACGAAGGAUUCAUCAGGAACGACUUGUAGAAUAAGUCUUACAAUUUCUUUAUGGAAGAAUGGUUAUCCCUACUAAAAGGAUACCAUAGCAAUAGGUCCUCCGGCCAGGUGUGCUAGGCUUGAUAUCACCUUACUGGGUUAUGUAAAGACCAAUGCUAUGACUCUUGGAAAAUGUUCCAACCAUCAUAUCUGACCGAGAUUCAGAUCUGUUUGGUGUCUGGAUACCUCAGACUCAGGAUGCCUGAGAAGAAAAAGGUGCAACACAACAUGACAGGAUGACACUGUAAGAUUCUCGAGAAAUGAAUUGUGGAAGCAAGUUCCGAAACAAGAGUUCAUCAUUAAAAGCAAGGAGAGGAGGAAGAGGUGGCUGAUGGGCUUAGCGAAAAUUCAUCGAGAUUUCCAAAAAGACGGAUUCCCACAACUAUGAGAACAAGGACAUAUCAUUUGUCAGAUCAAAUGAUAUAUUGAUGUAUGCUCGAGGAAAACAUACACAAUUAAACAUUGGUUGAUAGGUGCACCCGAAAUAUGGGCUGGGUUGCAUGAUCAAUGUUAGAAUGGUGACUCGAUAACGAAACUAUCGGCCAUUCACUUUGAAACAAUAAGGUUGCUAGAGAUAUUAAAUUCUCACAACAGAGUUCACUCAACACGGGGGGGGGCAAGAAAGAAUGGUGAUGGCGAGAAGCAUCACUGCAUCAAGAAUUUCUUAAGAGGUGGUGAAAUUCUCACGACAUUCCUGACAUAAAAGAUGGUAAUACUCCAAGGUAAAGAAUAACAAAUGCUUGUUAACAAGGAACUCAAGGUACUACAUGAAACAUGAACAAGUUUGUGUUGGAGGGAGGGCAAUAAAGUAGAUGAUGAUAACACAAAUCAUUGAGGGGCAAGGAUGAUAUUUCUUAUCAAGAAUUCGAUAGAUAGCUCGAAAGAACCCAGAAUGUUGAUGAUGAUCACGACACCAUUGCCGAGAGAUUUCACGAAGAUGUAAUCGAUCAGGGAUGUCAUCGAGUCAAAGGAAUGAUGAAGCCAAAGGUUAUUGGAACCAUAGAUACGACACAAACUCGAAAUCAAGCUUGUUGUUUGAGGUGAAACAAUAAGACCAGGAAGAUCGACGUAAGCUUAGCUCAUCAUCGAAAGUUGUGCUCUGGAAUAAGGACCAGGUAGCACAGUUAAAUUUUAGCACAAUAACGAUAUAGCCGAUCAGGCUAGGAAUGACUUGAAAGAUUAUUAAACUCAUAAGCAACAAAGAUUACUUAGAGUCACCGAACCGGAGUGCGGAAUCGAUUCACUUAUCGGUGUCCUCAGUUGACGACAACCCAGAACCCAAGAAAUUUGGAAUCGGUGAGAAAUAAUAGUUGAUGAAGCACCCAUAAGAAGUUAAGCUGUUCUAUGAUAUUCUUGAGAUACCAAAGCGUAAUACACGAUGGUAGAUCAAAGUAAAGGUUGGACGAGUGCAAUGAUUAGUAGAAGACAAGUACUUCAAGUUGUCCGAGAAAUGGUAUUUAAAAGAGAACAUGGUCGGAACCAUGAUUGCAAAGGAUCAAUUCACAGAUACCAAAUGAUAAUAUAUCAAGGGAAUAGUUAUUAUUUCAAGAAGCUUCCGUGAUAGGAUAUACAUCGUGUCCAUGGGCAUGAACACAAAGUUCAAGGUCGACUCCCACUUGUUCAAUGCAUAAUCUUUCAUUCACUUCUCGUAUUUUGAAAAUGACAUUAGUGGUUGAAAGCUUUUUCCUGGUGCCAUACCAAAUAAGUAUGACCCGUGAAAUCUUUCGGGUUCACACAGAUUUAAAGAAGGCAUAGGUUCAACCCAUCUGGGCCUCUUAGGAACAUAUACCACAAGCUUCAAUAAUAAAUACCACCAGCUCGAAAACAGAGCAUGGUUGAGAAAGCAGAGGAUACAAUUUACCAAAGGCUUUAUAUAGUCGUGGAAAGGCUCACAAGGUUACUUGAAUAUGAAGGACACUGUCGGAUAAUAAUCCAACACGAGGUCUGGUGGUCUACAACGGAGCUGAUUUGAGUAUCGGUACUCUAUCAAAGGAAGAAGGAAUGCAUGUGCAUUGGAUUAUAGAAACAACUGACUAACUCAAAGCUCAAAUGCAAAGGAAUUAUGAAUUCCAAGACAAAGGGAUCAGAAGCAAUGCUCUGAUUAGGGAUGGAUAAUUUGACUCGCCUUAGGGGUACAAUCGAUGGCAAUUUCAUUGGUCGAGAUCCAGCUCAUGUUUAAAAUGACGUCUGAGCCGAAGAACGAAAGGAAGGAUCUGAUUAAGGAAUGCGAGCAUUCGCAACAUAUUGAUUCAACAGACUCAAACUGAUAAUGAAUAAGGAUGCCAAUAAGAUUACCGGACUUAUGAGGUUAAUCAUAAUGCAAGCAAGCAAGAAUUUCAAGAGCAAUAGGCUGUUGAGGAUUUUCGGGGAUCAAAUGGUAUUUCGAAGACUUUUGUGAAAUACAUGAAUCAACUGGGGAUGAGCGGGUACUCGAUAAGUGCGAGAAAUUAUCCGUAAGGGUAUGUGUGUGGCAAAGAGCUGCAAAGCGGUGGGCACAAAGGAUUCUCGAAUCAUCGAAGAAAUUUUCAGGGUAUCAAGUAAUAACAGGGGCAACUAGGAACAAAGGUAAGAACAACAAGCUUAAUCAAUUAUCCAUAAGGAUUUAUCAGUGGUCGGGAAUAGCAAAAGUGGUGGGCACAAGGUCUCGAGAGAAUAAUGGAGAGUAUCUUCGGAAUCUUCUGGUGAAGCAGGCCAUCAUCUGGAAUGAAGGGGCUCUUCGGGAGAAAGUAUUUACAAGAACCUAGAGUUAGAGUUAGCAAAAUCAUUUAACCCGAAUAGAAGAGAGAUCAGAGUCCCAUAGUAUAGACGAGGAGUAAAAGAUCCUAAUACCACCCAAAUGGCGAUGUGGACCCGUAAGACACACAACCAUUGUUAGUAAAAAGUUUUGUAAUGUCUAGUCUCGACUUCGGCCAAGAAGUGUGGAAGGGGGAUUCCUACAGGCAGUCUGCUCUGAUACCAACUUGUGACACCCCCGAUUUGACCGUACAUUAAUCAUACACGCAAACGUGUAUGAUCAAGGUCAGGGACUCACGGGAUGAUAUCACAACACAACUCUACAAAUAAAAUAAGUCAUACAAGCAUCAUAUUACUAGCCAGGGGCCUCGAAGGCUCGAAUACAAGAGCUCGAUCAUAGACAAGUCAGCGGAAGCAACAAUAUCUGAGUACAGACAUAAGUUAAACAAUUUUUCCUUAAGAAGGCUAGCACAAACUGGGAUACAGAUUGAAAGAGGUGCAGGACUCCUGCCUGGGAUCCUCCUAAACUACUCCUGGUCGUUGUCAGCGGGCUGCACGUAGUAGUAGGCACCUCCCAAGUAGUAGUAGUAGUCAUCAUCGAUAGUGGCGUCUGGCUCCUGGGCUCCAACGUCUGGUCGCAGCAAUCGAGUGUAGAAAAGGGGGAAAAGGGGGGAGCAAAGCAACCGUGAGUACUCAUCCAAAGUACUCGCAAGCAAGGAGUUACACUACAUAUGUAUGCAUUGGUAUCAAAUGGAAUAAGGGUAUCAUAUGUGGACUGAACUGCAGAAUGCCAGAAUAAGAGGGGGAUAGCUAGUCCUAUCAAAGACUACGCUUCUGGCCACCUCCAUCUUGCAGCAUGUAGAAGAGAACGAAAGGUAAGUUCACCAAGUAGCAUCGCAUAGCAUAAUCCUAACCGAUGAUCCUCCCCUCGUCGCCCUGUGAGAGAGUGAUCACCGGUUGUAUCUGGCACUUGGAAGGAUAUGUUUUAUUAAGUAUCCGGUUCUAGUUGUCAUAAGGUCAAGGUACAACUCCAAGUCGUCAUCUUAGCGAAGAUCACGACUAUUCGAAUAGAUUAACUUCCCUGCAGGGGUGCACCACAUUUCCCAACAUGCUCGAUCCCCUUUGUCCGGACACACUUUCCUGGGUCAUGCCCGGCCUCGGAAGAUCAACACGUUGCAGCCCUACCUAGGCACAACAGAGAGGUCAGCACGUCGGUCUAAAUCCUAUGCGCGCAGGGGUCUGGGCCCAUCGCCCGUUGCACACCUGCACGUUGCGAACGCGGUCGGCGAGUAGACCUAGCAACCUCCAUUACAAACGAAGUUGUGUUACGCGGUCCAACCCGGCGCGCGCCGCUCAGUCGCUGAUGUCAAUAAGGCUUCGGCUGAUACCACGACGUCGAGUGCCCAUAAAUGUUCCCGCAUAGUUGGUUAGUGCGUAUAGGCCAGUAGCCAGACUCAUAUCAAAUACCAAGAUCUCGUUAAGCAUGUUAUUUCGAAAUAACCACGGACGCCGACCAGGGCCAGACCCACCUCUCUCCUAGGUGGUCUCAACCUGCCCUGUCGCUCCGCCUCAAAGUAACAAUCGGGGGCCGUCGGGAACUCAGGCCCACCACUACCUGGAUGGAGCCACCUGCCCCUUCAGCCCCCAACAUCGGAAUGACUUGCGGGUACUUAACGAGCCGACUCGACUUUAGUCACCACCUGUAUAGCAUUUAUAUAUGUAAGUAUAUACCCGUGAUCACCUCUCGAGUGAUCACGGCCCGAUAGUAUAGCAUGGCAGAUGGACAAGAAUGUAGGGCCACUGAUGGUAAACUAGCAUCCUAUACUAAGCAUUUAGGAUUGCAGGUAAGGUAUCAACAGUUAUAGCAACAAUGAAAGGUUAUGGAUCGGAAUAGGAUUAACGGAAAGCAGUAACAAAUUACACUACUCUAAUGCAAGUAGUAGAGAGUAGAAUAGGCGAUAUCUGGUGAUCAAAGGGGGGGGCUUGCCUGGUUGCUCUGGCAAGAGAGAGGGGUCAUCAACACCGUAGUCGUACUGGGUAGCAGCGGCGUCGGUCUCGGUGUCUAGCGAGAGAAGAGGGGGAAGAAACAAUAAAUAUUAAGCAAACAGAUGCAUGACGAUGCAUGACAUGACAAAGCGUGAUGCUAGGUGUGCCCUAACGUGGUAUGAGGUGGUACCGGUGAAGGGGGGAAACAUCCGGGAAAAUAUCCCCGGUGUUUCGCGUUUUUGGACAGAUGAUCCAGAGGGGAAAAGUUGCGUGUUCAAUAGGUUAGGGAUGUGUGGUGGACGAACGGGCUGCGUAUCCGGAUUCGUCUUGUUUUUUUAUCGAUUUUCAUAUAUAAACUGACCUACGGUUUAUUCUAUAUGAACUUUCAAAGUUCAAAACGAUUUUUGGAAUUUCUAGAUUUAUAUUAAUUCGAACUAAAAACAUGAUAUAAUUUUGUCAUCUAGUGCUACUCCAACAUGUGUGUUUGACAGUGGGGCCAGUGGGGUUGGGUUGACCCAGUCAAAUUGACUGGUCAACAGGAGGUGUGACCCACAUGUAAGUGACACACAGAUGGGUCAAAUUAAAAUGAGUGGUCCACAUGUAAUACACUUAGACUAAUGAACCCCUAAAUUAUAGCCUAAACUAAUUAGACCUACCAAUUAGGUCGGCCACACGCAAUGGCACAGCCACACCUCGGCUGUGCUUGCCAUGGCCAGCACGCGAGGCACAAGGCCACGACGGCCAUGGCCAGCAACAGCAUCAGCAGCGCAAUAGGGAGCAAAUGUAGCAGCGCAGCGGAUAGUAGCGGUAACAGGCAGAGCAAAUAGCAGCGGCAGUAGCCAAGCAGCAACAUCGACAGUAGCAAGCAGCAGCCGGCGGCAAUGCACGGGCAGCGGCAGGUGACGACAAGGUCACCCAUGGGAGCGUGCGCAUGAGAGCCCAGGCAGCAGCGUGCCGAGCGCGGCCACCGCUCGACCUAGGUAAAGCAGGGCGCGGACGGUUCCAGGCACACAGAGAGCUUCGGGGGCGGGCAUGGCGAUCUCAAGCAUAGUAGCCGGAAACGGGGAACGGUAGGCCGUCCCUCGAUCCCGAUUCAUCGACCCGGAAUCGGAUUCAGGAACGAGGUCGGAUUCGGUACGAUUCGAUGAAGAUUCGGCGGCCCCGCAGCUUGCUCCUCGAUUCAGGUUCGAGGAUCCAACAGCCAAAACGCGAGGCAUAAUUUACUCACGCCGUCGUUUCUUUUCUCAAGGACUCCUCGUUCUUCCUCCAGUCCAUUAAUUGCAAGGGAUCCGUUAAUAGCAAGGAAUGCUGACCAUCAGGGAGUCGUCGUUCUUUAGGAACUGCGUUCCUCGACUCAUGGUACCGUACCAAGUUCAUCGUACCCAAACGGAUUGGAUCACGUCCCCGCUAUAAAAAAAUCGUUCGAGAGAUGUAUACCCUCGUUGUACCCUAUUUUUUUCAGCCACCGACUCUCGUCCCAAGUUCCCGUUCCUCGUUCCCACCGUACCGGAAACAUGGCAACUAUGAUCUCAUGACGAUGGCUACAACGACGGAUUGAAGGAGAAGAUGAGGGGGUUCGGCAGAGGAGCUCACCCCAGGGCUUGUGGACAUCUCUGUUGCCGCAGGGACGAACCGGAGCAGCGGCAACCAUCAACGAGAUGUCGCGGCCGUGGGCGAAGAUGACGGCGAUGCCGAGCCUAUGGGGUAUCCCGGCUCGGGUUCCUCGGUGGAGACAAAGGAGACGACCGCGAGGAGGAUCCUGAACAUCCUCCCGGGCGUCGGGGAAGAUAGUGGUCGCGGAAUCGACGACGUGCGCGGUGACGGCGGCGUCGGCUCUCCUCGGUCGAGUUCCCGAGCUAGAGGAUGAAUGAGAGGGGGUAGUGAGGUGCUAGGGUUCGUUUGUGGGGCGAUGGGGAUUGCUAAGUAGGCAUCCACGAGGGACGGAUGGCCGGCACGUGGCCAGGCACGGCCACGGCGCCAUGGAUGGCCGCCACACCUCUGUGCAAUGAACAGAGGAAGGGGAUAAGGAGGAGCUGGGCUGGGCCUCAACUGUAGUUCAAUUAGGCCUAGUAGCACAGUAGGCUUCAUGUCUUUUUCUUUUUCUGUUUUCUAUUUUAUUUUCUGUUUGCACUUUCUUUUAACAACAAAUCACUUUUGUAAAAUGUGUGGUGGCCUCAAUAGUUACUAUGCAAUAUACCUCACUCCCACAGAAAGUUUGGGAGAGAUUUGAAGUUGUUUGUAUUUUGAUUAAAGGAAAAUGACUUGAAUGGGGCUGUUUUGGGUACUGUUUUCAUAUCAAGGGGCA